GGGGACUGUCUCCCUGUACAGGUGAACAUGGUCAUAGAGACAGUCCAGAUCGAGGGUGGGAUGGUGGGGACUGUCUCCCUGUGUAGGUGAACAUGGUCAUAGAGACAGUCCAGAUCGAGGGUGGGAUGGUGGGGACUGUCUCCCUGUGUAGGUGAACAUGGUCAUAGAGACAGUCCAGAUCGAGGGUGGGAUGGUGGGGACUGUCUCCCUGUGUAGGUGAACAUGGUCAUAGAGACAGUCCAGAUCGAGGGUGGGAUGGUGGGGACUGUCUCCCUGUGUAGGUGAACAUGGUCAUAGAGACAGUCCAGAUCGAGGGUGGGAUGGUGGGGACUGUCUCCCUGUGUAGGUGAACAUGGUCAUAGAGACAGUCCAGAUCGAGGGUGGGAUGGUGGGGACUGUCUCCCUGUGUAGGUGAACAUGGUCAUAGAGACAGUCCAGAUCGAGGGUGGGAUGGUGGGGACUGUCUCCCUGUGUAGGUGAACAUGGUCAUAGAGACAGUCCAGAUCGAGGGUGGGAUGGUGGGGACUGUCUCCCUGUGUAGGUGAACAUGGUCAUAGAGACAGUCCAGAUCGAGGGUGG
This is a long non-coding RNA of Oncorhynchus keta (chum salmon), 579 nucleotides long. RefSeq lists it as uncharacterized. Lineage: Eukaryota; Metazoa; Chordata; Actinopteri; Salmoniformes; Salmonidae. The transcript has 6 exons. The record is from RefSeq and is a predicted model, not a curated record.